CUGCCGUGCAGCUAUGGGUGCUCAGUGCCUUGAGAUUGUGCCAUUCACACCAAUUCUCCUCCCUGCCCCUGCUUUGUAUCUUUGAUCUUUUCUGUUCCUGAAUGGAAGAAAUGUAAAUACAUGUUCUGGUUUAGCAAGGAGCAGCUUUUGGCUUAGUAACAGGGGGAGGGGGUUGCAGUGAAGACCCGGUAAAGAGUUUGUGGACAGAAGCUAUCGGGAACAGACUAACUGAAACCCCCACUGCAGAGAGGGGAGCUCUUUGGCUGGCCUCACUACGGGAAGCUGGCCGUGGGAGAAACGCUGUCCAUUAAGGUUUACAACUGCAGCAAGGUCUUCAGUAACAGAGCUGUCUCAGCCAGAGCAGAGCCGUGCCGGUCCUUACAGCUCGUGCAGACCUGGGAUUCCUCAGCUUGAAGCUGAUGCUGGCCAUCCCCUGUGUGCCAUCACUAACCAGGAGACCGCUCUGU
Colius striatus (speckled mousebird) is the source of this 467-nucleotide long non-coding RNA. RefSeq lists it as uncharacterized. Lineage: Eukaryota; Metazoa; Chordata; Aves; Coliiformes; Coliidae. The record is from RefSeq and is a predicted model, not a curated record. The transcript has 3 exons.